This 506-nucleotide ribosomal RNA is filed under the name Loxopholis percarinatum. RNAcentral's name for it is "partial 16S ribosomal RNA". It matches the Rfam family "Bacterial large subunit ribosomal RNA", at positions 1816 to 2597 of the family's 2925-position model. The record is from RNAcentral. Lineage: Eukaryota; Metazoa; Chordata; Lepidosauria; Squamata; Gymnophthalmidae.
AGCCUUUAGCUAAACAACUAUUAAAGGUGAUGCCUGCCCAGUGACUCAUUAAACGGCCGCGGGAUCCUCCACCGUGCAAAGGUAGCAUAAUCACUUGUCCUCUAAAUAGGGACUAGUAUGAACGGCCACAUGAAGAUUUUCCUGUCUCUUGUAGAAAAUCUAUGAAAUUGAUCUUUCAGUACAAAAGCUGAAAUUUAACCACAAGACGAAAAGACCCUGUGGAACUUUUUAAACGGCAACCACUAUUAAUGGUUACACCCGCUUUUAGUUGGGGCAACUACGGAAAUAAACAAAACUUCCAUCACCAUAUUAUAGGCGGACACACCAGUAAUUAUACCUUCAGACCCAGUAUUACUGACAAAAGAACCAAGCUACCCCAGGGAUAACAGCGCCAUCCCCUCUUAGAGCCCCCAUCGACGAGGGGGUUUACGACCUCGAUGUUGGAUCAGGGCCCCCAAACAGUGCAGCAGCUGUUAACGGUUUGUUUGUUCAACAAUUAAUGCCCU